CAUCUUCCGUCACCACCGAAACCACCAUCUUCACCAUCGGCCUUCUCCUCCUUCCCUAUUUAACUCUCAUUUUCAAAAUCAAGAUAAAAGUCUCGUAUUUAACUCUAGCCUUACUAUACACUAAGAAAACCAUCAAAACCUAUUGUCUUCUCACAGGAGAAAACAACACAUCUCUCCUAAAAACUCAUACCCUCUCAUUCACCAUCAAAGUUGGUUGGCUCGAUUUUGGUAUUUGAAGCACUCUCCCUUCAGUUGUUUUUCUUCGG
RNAcentral lists this long non-coding RNA (266 nucleotides) under Erythranthe guttata (spotted monkey flower). RNAcentral describes it as "long non-coding RNA (EGUT_LNC001969)". The record is from RNAcentral. Lineage: Eukaryota; Viridiplantae; Streptophyta; Magnoliopsida; Lamiales; Phrymaceae.